UAUGGGACACCUUAGCUAAUGAAGGCGUCUCUCGAAGAUACGAGAAGUACAGUAGGAACCAACCUCAAUCCGGGGCCUGAUAUAAUAGAAUCGACACGUACCCUUAAGAUGGAUAUUUUGUUAAUGAGCUUCAAUGCUUUUUUCUAGUUUAGGAGUAUUUAAAUUUUGGAAGGUUGUAUUAUCAAGGAUGGAUUGAUAUACAGUUUAUCUUCAAUGCGUUUUUGUAGUUUAGGAGUAUUUAAAUUUGGUAAGGUUGUAUUAUUAAGGAUGGAUUGUUAUACAGUUUGGCAGUGGUGUUCUGUACUUCAUUAUAUUUAUAACAGGUUUUGAAAGCUGUGUGACAGUUGCAAUUAAGAUGAAGAUUUUCAUUCGAUUUUAACAUUCCAAUAUUUUAAGAGCAAUUAGAUAAAGAGGAUUUUUUU
Molecule: long non-coding RNA, 422 nt
Filed under: Lathyrus oleraceus (garden pea)
Lineage: Eukaryota; Viridiplantae; Streptophyta; Magnoliopsida; Fabales; Fabaceae
Description: Pisum sativum (pea) long non-coding RNA (PSAT_LNC004204)
Source: RNAcentral